AAAAAGAGCUUCUGUUAUGUGUGGCACAUGUGGGGCAGCUCAAUUGCUCUUCCUGCGGAAUCAACAUCAAGAGGUUUGGGAAGCAUAAGUUUUGGUACUUGGGCAGCUGGUGCUCAUUGAUCCCAGCAAGUCUA
Equus caballus (horse) is the source of this 134-nucleotide small nuclear RNA. The record is from Ensembl. Lineage: Eukaryota; Metazoa; Chordata; Mammalia; Perissodactyla; Equidae.